Long non-coding RNA from Pogonomyrmex barbatus (red harvester ant), 392 nucleotides. RefSeq lists it as uncharacterized. NCBI's taxonomy places the organism in Eukaryota, Metazoa, Arthropoda, Insecta, Hymenoptera, Formicidae. The record is from RefSeq and is a predicted model, not a curated record.
CCCAACCUUCGGAAACAUAACCUUAAAAACAAAUAUGGAAUAGAAUCGUUUUGCAAACAAGUGAGAUUUAAUAAUCAAUCAAGACGUGAAAUUUUUGUGAUUCAUUGAGAAUUAUGCGAUUAAAAGGAUGGAGAUAUGGUGUGUUUGUUGGAAGUUUUUUUGGACUUAUAGGUACUUGCUGUUAUGCUACCAUGAUACAACCUAUGUUGAAUCCUGAACCAUACAAAAGAUUUAGAGAACAAAUCUCCUGGGACAAGCCUAAAUAACAAACCUGAGAUUUGGUUUUGUGAUUAUCUGCAGACCUGGAAUUUGUUAAUUUAAUUUAUGAUGUUACAUAAAAUUCUGUGAGAUAGGUGAUCAAUAUAAAAUUUAAUGGAUUGUUUACUGUACAA